UACGUAGGGGGCAAGCGUUGUCCGGAUUUAUUGGGCGUAAAGCGCACGCAGGCGGUCUUGUAAGUUUCGAGUGACAGGUGGUGGCUUAACUGCCACAGGCCUUGGAAAACUGCAAGACUUGAGGACUUCAGAGGGAUGCGGAAUUCCAGGUGGAGCGGUGAAAUGCGUAGAGAUCAUGAGGAAGACCAGUGGCGAAGGCGGGUCUCUGGACAGUUCCUGACACUGAGGCACGAAGGCCAGGGGAGCAAACGGG
This 253-nucleotide ribosomal RNA is filed under the name uncultured bacterium. RNAcentral's name for it is "partial 16S ribosomal RNA". It matches the Rfam family "Bacterial small subunit ribosomal RNA", at positions 524 to 776 of the family's 1533-position model. The record is from RNAcentral.